Otolemur garnettii (small-eared galago) is the source of this 103-nucleotide non-coding RNA. Lineage: Eukaryota; Metazoa; Chordata; Mammalia; Primates; Galagidae. The record is from Rfam.
GUGCUCACUUUGACAGCACAUAUACUAAGAUUGUAAGUAUACAGAAAUUAGCAUGGCCUUGCACAAGGAUGACAUGCAAAUUUGUGCAAUGUUCCAUAUUAUU